AUUAGAUGAGCUUAUUUUAGAUUAGCUAGUUGGUGGAGUAAUAGCCUACCAAGGCAAUGAUCUAUAGCUGAUCUGAGAGGAUGAUCAGCCACACUGGAACUGAGAUACGGUCCAGACUCCUACGGGAGGCAGCAGUGGGGAAUAUUGGACAAUGGGCGAAAGCCUGAUCCAGCUAUGCCGCAUGAGUGAAGAAAGCCUUUGGGUUGUAAAGCUCUUUUAGUGAGGAAGAUAAUGACGGUACUCACAGAAGAAGUCCUGGCUAACUCCGUGCCAGCAGCCGCGGUAAUACGGAGAGGGCUAGCGUUAUUCGGAAUUAUUGGGCGUAAAGGGCGCGUAGGCUGAUUAAUAAGUUAAAAGUGAAAUCCCGAGGCUUAACCUUGGAACUGCUUUUAAAACUAUUAAUCUAGAGAUUGAAAGAGGAUAGAGGAAUUCCUGAUGUAGAGGUAAAAUUCGUAAAUAUUAGGAGGAACACCAGUGGCGAAGGCGUCUAUCUGGUUCAAAUCUGACGCUGAGGCGCGAAGGCGUGGGGAGCAAACAGGAUUAGAUACCCUGGUAGUCCACGCUAUAAACGAUGAAUGUUAAAUAUGGGAAG
Molecule: ribosomal RNA, 592 nt
Filed under: Wolbachia endosymbiont of Bemisia tabaci
Lineage: Bacteria; Pseudomonadati; Pseudomonadota; Alphaproteobacteria; Rickettsiales; Anaplasmataceae
Description: bacterial SSU rRNA
Rfam family: Bacterial small subunit ribosomal RNA
Source: RNAcentral